This 252-nucleotide ribosomal RNA is filed under the name uncultured bacterium. RNAcentral's name for it is "partial 16S ribosomal RNA". It matches the Rfam family "Bacterial small subunit ribosomal RNA", at positions 524 to 776 of the family's 1533-position model. The record is from RNAcentral.
UACGUAGGUCCCGAGCGUUGUCCGGAUUUAUUGGGCGUAAAGCGAGCGCAAGUGGUUCAUUAAGUCUGGUGUAAAAGGCGGUGGCUCAACCAUUGUAUGCAUUGGAAACUGGUAGACUUGAGUGCAGGAGAGGAGAGUGGAAUUCCAUGUGUAGCGGUGAAAUGCGUAGAUAUAUGGAGGAACACCGGUGGCGAAAGCGGCUCUCUGGCCUGUAACUGACACUGAGGCUCGAAAGCGUGGGGAGCAAACAGG